GCUCCGAUGGCCUAGUAGUUAGAGCCCCCGCCUCGAAUGCGAAAGGUAAUGGGUUCGAUCCCCGGUCGGGUCA
This is a non-coding RNA of Potamilus streckersoni, 73 nucleotides long. Lineage: Eukaryota; Metazoa; Mollusca; Bivalvia; Unionida; Unionidae. The record is from the annotation of a GenBank genome assembly.